AAAAAGGCAAACCCUGGGUUUCCGUGUCCAACUUUGACUGUCCGUCUUAUAUGAAAUUUUUUUAUAAUUCGUAUUUCAUUAUUGUUAGAUGAUAAAACAUGAUUAACAUUUUAUGCAUGACUUAUCUUUUUAAUUUUUUUUAUAUUUUUUUCAAAAAUAAGACGGACGGUCAAAUAUUGUGCACGGAAACCAGGGUUUCUCUUUUU
Oryza barthii is the source of this 206-nucleotide non-coding RNA. The record is from Rfam. Lineage: Eukaryota; Viridiplantae; Streptophyta; Magnoliopsida; Poales; Poaceae.